CGGGCUGACGCCUGGGGCUGGGAGCUUCAUCGGGGUCUCCCACAUCAGGACAGGGCCCCAAGCACUUGGCCCGUCCUCUGCUGCCUUCCCAGGCGCGUUAGCAGGGAGCUGGAUCGGAAGUGGAGCAGCUGGGACUCGAACUGGCACCCAUAUGGGAUGCCGGUGUUGCCGGUGGCAGCUUUACCAGCUACGCCGCGGCUCUGGCCCCUGUAACAUGCAUUUUCCAUGCACUUUUUGACAAGCCGUGUAGGAUGCUGCAGGAUUUUGGUCAGGAAUGGAAUACAGUAAAGAACGUUGGGAAAAAUUGAAACAGAGUGCUCAUUCACGCUCUUCCCUUGAACAGAAUGACGAAACGUUUCCUGCAACAACUCUGCAAGCAGCACAAGCUUUACGUCACCCCAGCGCUGAACGAUUCGCUGUACUUGCACUUUAAAGGUGAGCCUUCACGCUGUACUUACACCGUACAGUGAGCCUUUACACUGUACUUAGACUGUACAGGUGAGCCUUCACGCUGUACUUACACUGUACAGUGAGCCUUCACGCUGUACUUAGACUGUACAGUGAACCUUCACGCUGUACUCACACUGUACAGGGGAGCCUUCACGCUGUAAUUACACUGUACAGUGAGCCUUUACGCUGUACUUAGACUGUACAGGUGAGCCUUCACGCUGUACUUACACUGUACAGGGAGCCUUUACGCUGUACUUACAUUGUGCAGGUGAGCCUUUACGCUGUACUUAGACUGUACGGGGAGCCUUUUACGCUGUAUUUACACUGUACAGUGAGCCUUUACGCUGUACUUAGACUGUACAGGUGAGCCUUUACGCUGUACUCACACUGUGCAGGUGAUCCUUUAUGCUGCACUUACACUGUACAGUGAGCCUUCACACUGUACUUACACUUACAGGGAGCCUUUAUGCUGUACUUACACUGUAUAGCUGAGCCUUUAUGCUGUACUUACAACUGUUCAGGGAGCCUUUACCCUGUACUCACACUGUACAGUGAGCCUUUACGCUGUACUUACACUGUACAGGGAGCCUUUACGCUGUACUUACACUGCACAGUGAGCCUUUAUGCUGUACUUACACUGUACAGUGAGCGUUUAUGCUGUACUUACACUGUACAGGGAGCCUUUAUGCUGUACUACACUGUGCAGGUGAUCCUUUACGCUGUACUUACACUGUACAGGGAGCCUUUACACUGUACUACACUGUGCAGUGAUCCUUUACGCUGUACUUACACUGUACAGGGAGCCUUUACGCUGUACUUACACUGUACAGGGAGCCUUUACGCUGUACUACACUGUGCAGGUGAGCCUUUACACUGUAUUAACACUGUACAGGUGAGCCUUUACACUGUAUUAACACUGUACAGGUGAGCCUUUACACUGUAUUAACACUGUGCAGGUGAGCGCCGCGCCCAGCAGCUGCUCCUGUCCGGGAGUAGACUCUGCCGGGUGGAAUCAAACCACUGUCCCUCAGGUCAUAUUUCUAAGUGGAUAUUUCAGUUUUAGAGGAGAUUUGUGGAAGAGAAAUAAUAGUUAUGUCGAGAAAAAGUCAUGCCUGUCUGUAUUGGGUACAUAUGGAUACCAAAGAAACACAUUGCUAUCUUUUAUUUAUGUUUUCUAAGGACUUAGAAAUGUUCUUUAAUUUUUGAAAAGAUCUCAUUUCAAAGGCAGAGGAGUAGAGAGAGGCAGAGAAACAGAGAAAGAAAGAGAGAGAAAGAGAUCUUCCACCUGUUGGUUCAUUCCCCAAAUACCUGCAGCAGCCAAGGCUGGGCACAGCCACAGCCGGGAACCCAGCACUCCAUCCACGUCUCCUGUGCCAGUGCCAGGGACCCACGUACUUGGGCCAUCAUCUGCUGCCUCCCGCGGUGCGCACUGGCAGGAUGCCGGAUCGGAAGCAGAGUGGCCGGGACUCAGUCCCCCAGGCACCUCACGGCGCCGCACGCCCACCCUGACUUAGAAUUCCUCAAAGCAGGAAGCUGGUUUGCGAGUUCUCGGGUGUGGGGAUGAUACGUUAUGAGGGACGGAAGGCUGGUGUGCACAACAAAGGAAGAGGUCUCUGCGGAGGGGGUGGGCAGGGGCAGCCCCUAGAGCUCAAGGUCAGGUUCGUGGGCGGAGCUAUUCCGGCAGUGAUGUUGGGCAGUGCCCUUGGGAAAUUCUUAGGCUGUGAAAACCAGGCCGACUAAGAAGAAGUCUUGGCCGGCGCCGCGGCUCACUAGGCUAAUCCUCCACCUAGCGGCACCGACACACCGGGUUCUAGUCCCGGUCGGGGCACCGGAUUCUGUCCCGGUUGCCCCUCUUCCAGGCCAGCUCUCUGCUGUGGCCCGGGAGUGCAGUGGAGGAUGGCCCAAGUGCUUGGGCCCUGCACCCCAUG
Long non-coding RNA from Oryctolagus cuniculus (rabbit), 2378 nucleotides. Lineage: Eukaryota; Metazoa; Chordata; Mammalia; Lagomorpha; Leporidae. The record is from Ensembl.